UACGUAGGGGGCAAGCGUUGUCCGGAUUUAUUGGGCGUAAAAGGCUUGUAGGUGGCCACGCCAAGUCGGAUGUGAAAUCUCCCGGCUCAACUGGGAGGGGUCAUUCGAUACUGGCGGGCUCGAGGCCGGUAGGGGGAAGUGGAAUUCCCGGUGUAGUGGUGGAAUGCGUAGAUAUCGGGAGGAACACCAGUGGCGAAGGCGGUUACCUGGGGCUUUGCUGACGCUGAUGCGCGAAAGCGUGGGGAGCGAUCCGG
This 254-nucleotide ribosomal RNA is filed under the name uncultured bacterium. Its description in RNAcentral is "partial 16S ribosomal RNA". It matches the Rfam family "Bacterial small subunit ribosomal RNA", at positions 524 to 776 of the family's 1533-position model. The record is from RNAcentral.